This 200-nucleotide ribosomal RNA is filed under the name uncultured bacterium. RNAcentral describes it as "partial 16S ribosomal RNA". It matches the Rfam family "Bacterial small subunit ribosomal RNA", at positions 8 to 207 of the family's 1533-position model. The record is from RNAcentral.
AGAGUUUGAUCCUGGCUCAGGAUAAACGCUGGCGGCGUGCCUAACACAUGCAAGUCGAACGUUCUCCCUUUCUUCGGAAAGGGAGGGAGUGGCGGACGGGUGAGUAACACAUGGGUACCUACCCCGAAGUGAGGAAUACCUCCGGGAAACCGGGGACAAGACCGCAUAGGCUCUCCUUCACACCAGAGGGAGAGCAAAGC